RNAcentral lists this long non-coding RNA (291 nucleotides) under Physcomitrium patens. RNAcentral describes it as "long non-coding RNA (PPAT_LNC005639)". Lineage: Eukaryota; Viridiplantae; Streptophyta; Bryopsida; Funariales; Funariaceae. The record is from RNAcentral.
GGGGAAAAAAGACAGAGAAUUGGGUUUUUUUUUCUUCAUAGGGUUUUGGGAAGACUGAGGCAAUCGUUGCUGAAGUCAGUGUUGUAAUGGUGAAUCGGGAUUUUUAAUGAAGUGGGUUUGAUUACUCUUGAUUAUUUUGUGAAAUCGAGUUACGUCUGUGAUGAAGAGUUAAAAGGGUGUAUAUAGGAUUGAGUAUGCGGAGUGAAUGAAAUUUAUUGGAUUAAUCUAACAAGACAGUCAGUGGAUACAAGAUCGUGAGUAUAAAGCGGUAUCGAAGAUUAGCAGUUUGGG